RNAcentral lists this ribosomal RNA (497 nucleotides) under uncultured bacterium. Its description in RNAcentral is "partial 16S ribosomal RNA". It matches the Rfam family "Bacterial small subunit ribosomal RNA", at positions 28 to 507 of the family's 1533-position model. The record is from RNAcentral.
GAUGAACGCUGGCGGCGUGCCUAAUACAUGCAAGUCGAGCGAACGGACGCGAAGCUUGCUUCUCUGGUCUUAGCGGCGAACGAGUGAGUAACACGUGGAUCACCUCCCUAUAAGACUGGGAUAACUUCGGGAAUCCUGCGCUAAUACCGGCGAAUAUUUUGAACCUCAUGGUUCAAAAGUGUAAGACGGUCUUGCUGUCACUCAUAGAUUGAUCCGCUCUGCAUUAGCUAGUUGGUAAGGUAACGGCUUACCAAGGCAACGAUGCAUAGCCGACCUGGGCGGGUGAUAGGCCACCCUGGAGCGUAGACGCGGACCAGGCUCCUGCGGGAGGGCGCAGUAGGGAAUGGUACGCAGUGGGCGAGAGCCUGACGGAGCAACGCCGCGUGAGUGACGACGGUCCUCGGAGCGUAAAACCCUGUUAUGAGGGAAGAACAUAUGUGUAAGUAACUGUGCACAAAUUGACGGUACCUAAUCAGAAAGCCACGGCUAACUACGUG